CAGUCGCCGCGGUAAUGCGUAGGUGGCAAGCGUUGCCCGGAAUUAUUGGGCGUAAAGGGUUCGCAGGCGGUUUCUUAAGUCUGAUGUGAAAGCCCCCGGCUCAACCGGGGAGGGUCAUUGGAAACUGGGAAACUUGAGUGCAGAAGAGGAGAGUGGAAUUCCACGUGUAGCGGUGAAAUGCGUAGAGAUGUGGAGGAACACCAGUGGCGAAGGCGACUCUCUGGUCUGUAACUGACGCUGAGGAGCGAAAGCGUGGGGAGCGAACAGGAUUAGAUACCCCCGUAGUCCCUGUCUCUUAUAC
RNAcentral lists this ribosomal RNA (301 nucleotides) under uncultured bacterium. RNAcentral describes it as "partial 16S ribosomal RNA". It matches the Rfam family "Bacterial small subunit ribosomal RNA", at positions 509 to 807 of the family's 1533-position model. The record is from RNAcentral.